Molecule: ribosomal RNA, 532 nt
Filed under: Cobetia sp.
Lineage: Bacteria; Pseudomonadati; Pseudomonadota; Gammaproteobacteria; Oceanospirillales; Halomonadaceae
Description: bacterial SSU rRNA
Rfam family: Bacterial small subunit ribosomal RNA
Source: RNAcentral
CUGAUCAGCCAUGCCGCGUGUGUGAAGAAGGCCUUCGGGUUGUAAAGCACUUUCAGCGAGGAAGAACGCCUUGGGAUUAAUACUCCCGAGGAAAGACAUCACUCGCAGAAGAAGCACCGGCUAACUCCGUGCCAGCAGCCGCGGUAAUACGGAGGGUGCAAGCGUUAAUCGGAAUUACUGGGCGUAAAGCGCGCGUAGGUGGCUAAGUCAGCCAGGUGUGAAAGCCCCGGGCUCAACCUGGGAACGGCAUCUGGAACUGCUUGGCUAGAGUGCAGGAGAGGAAGGUAGAAUUCCCGGUGUAGCGGUGAAAUGCGUAGAGAUCGGGAGGAAUACCAGUGGCGAAGGCGGCCUUCUGGACUGACACUGACACUGAGGUGCGAAAGCGUGGGUAGCAAACAGGAUUAGAUACCCUGGUAGUCCACGCCGUAAACGAUGUCAACUAGCCGUUGGGUCCCUUGAGGACUUAGUGGCGCAGCUAACGCAAUAAGUUGACCGCCUGGGGAGUACGGCCGCAAGGUUAAAACUCAAAUGA